AUGCACAGCAUAGCCAAGAUCCUCUGCAAGUCGCUAGCUAAUAGGCUGGCCCCGGAGCUUGACUCCCUCGUCUCUCCUUCUCAGAGCGCCUUCAUAAAAAAGAGAUGUAUUCAGGACAAUUUCCUUUACGUGCACAAUGUCAUUAAAGAGGCUCACACCAAGAAGAAGGCAUUAGUCUUCCUCAAGCUUGACAUUGCCAAAGCGUUUGAUUCCGUUGGUUGGGGAUUCUUGUUAGAGACCAUGUCUGCUUUUGGUUUCAGUCAGCGCUGGAGAAAUAUUGUGUCUGCCAUUCUGAGCUCCGCUUCCUCAAGAAUUUUGUUAAAUGGCACCCCCGGCACGCCCUUCAGGCAUAUGCGCGGCCUUCGCCAGGGAGACCCCCUGUCUCCAAUGCUGUUCAUUCUCGUCAUGGAGCCGCUUCCGAGACUGUUGGAUCUUGCAACAGAACGCGGGGUUCUAUCUCAGUUGGGACCUAAGGCGGCCAGAUUUCGGACAAGUAUGUAUGCGGAUGAUGCGGCCCUAUUUUUAAACCCUGUCAAGGAGGAAGUGCGUGCGGUCAGAGCAAUACUGGACAGGUUUGGGGAGGCCUCUGGACUCAAGAUCAACACCCAGAAAUGCGUUGCCUAUCCUGUUAGGUGUGAGGGGCUGGACUUCCAGGAUAUUAUCCAAGAUUUUGGUGGGACGACGGGCUCUCUCCCGUGUCGUUACCUUGGCCUACCACUCAGCUAUCGCAAGCUUAGGCGAAUCGAAGUCCUCCCUCUCUUGGAUGGUAUGGCUGGAAGACUCAAGGGAUGGAAAGGCAAACUGAUGACAAAACCGGGAAGACUCGCCUAA
This 831-nucleotide ribosomal RNA is filed under the name Triticum aestivum (bread wheat). RNAcentral's name for it is "partial small subunit ribosomal RNA". The record is from RNAcentral. Lineage: Eukaryota; Viridiplantae; Streptophyta; Magnoliopsida; Poales; Poaceae.